This 1044-nucleotide ribosomal RNA is filed under the name uncultured soil bacterium. RNAcentral's name for it is "bacterial SSU rRNA". It matches the Rfam family "Bacterial small subunit ribosomal RNA", at positions 328 to 1398 of the family's 1533-position model. The record is from RNAcentral.
CAUAUGGAUUCCUACGGGAGGCAGCAGUUAGGAAUCUUGGGCAAUGGGCGGAAGCCUGACCCAGCAACGCCGCGUGGGUGAUGAAGGCCUUCGGGUCGUAAAGCUCUUUUCCCGGGGAAGAUGAUGACGGUACCCGGGGAAUAAGCCCCGGCUAACUACGUGCCAGCAGCCGCGGUAAUACGUAGGGGGCGAGCGUUGUCCGGAUUUAUUGGGCGUAAAAGGCUUGUAGGCGGCCACAUCGCGUCGGACGUGAAAUCUCCCGGCUCAACUGGGAGGGGUCGUGCGAUACGGAUGGGCUCGAGGCCGGUAGGGGGACGCGGAAUUCCCGGUGUAGUGGUGGAAUGCGUAGAUAUCGGGAGGAACACCAGUGGCGCAGGCGGCGUCCUGGACCGGCACUGACGCUGAGGAGCGAAAGCGUGGGGAGCGAUCCGGAUUAGAUACCCGGGUAGUCCACGCCGUAAACGGUGCGCACUAGGUGUCGGGGGUAUCGACUCCUCCGGUGCCGCAGCUAACGCAUUAAGUGCGCUGCCUGGGGAGUACGGCCGCAAGGCUAAAACUCAAAGGAAUUGACGGGGGCCCGCACAAGCAGCGGAGCGUGUGGUUUAAUUCGAUGCAACGCGGAGAACCUCACCUAGGCUUGACAUGCCCGAAGUAGAACCCUGAAAGGGGAACGACUCGUAGAGGCGAGAGCGGGCACAGAUGCUGCAUGGCUGUCGUCAGCUCGUGCCGUGAGGUGUUGGGUUAAGUCCCGCAACGAGCGCAACCCUCGCCGCUAGUUACCAUGUCUAGCGGGACCGCCGGUAUCAAACCGGAGGAAGGUGGGGAUGACGUCAAGUCAGCACGGCUCUUACGCCUAGGGCUACACACACGCUACAAUGGCCGGUACAACGGGAAGCCAAGGGGUGACCCGGAGCGAAUCCCAGCAAAGCCGGUCUCAGUUGGGAUUGCAGGCUGCAACCCGCCUGCAUGAACGCGGAGUUGCUAGUAACCGCCGGUCAGCACACGGCGGUGAAUACGUUCCCGGGCCUUGUACACACCGCCAUC